RNAcentral lists this ribosomal RNA (253 nucleotides) under uncultured bacterium. Its description in RNAcentral is "partial 16S ribosomal RNA". It matches the Rfam family "Bacterial small subunit ribosomal RNA", at positions 524 to 776 of the family's 1533-position model. The record is from RNAcentral.
UACGGAGGGUGCAAGCGUUAAUCGGAAUUACUGGGCGUAAAGCGCACGCAGGUGGCUGAGUCAGUCGAUUGUGAAAGCCCUGGGCUUAACCUGGGAAUUGCAGUCGAUACUACUCAGCUAGAGUAUGGGAGAGGGCAGUGGAAUUCCCGGUGUAGCGGUGAAAUGCGUAGAUAUCGGGAGGAACAUCAGUGGCGAAGGCGGCUCACUGGACUGGUAUUGACGCUGAGGUGCGAAAGCGUGGGGAGCAAACAGG